GAAAUGCGAUAAGUAAUGUGAAUUGCAGAAUUCAGUGAAUCAUCGAAUCUUUGAACGCACCUUGCGCUCCUUGGUAUUCCUUGGAGCAUGCCUGUUUGAGUAUCAUGAAAUCUUCAAAGUAAAUCUUUUGUUAACUCAAUUGGUUUCUAUUUGGUAUUGGAGGUCUUUGCAGCUUCACACCUGCUCCUCUUUGUUCAUUAGCUGGAUCUCAGUGUUAUGCUUGGUUCCACUCGGCGUGAUAAGUUAUCUAUCGCUGAGGACACUGUAAAAGGUGGCCAAGGUAAAUGCAGAUGAACCGCUUCUAAUAGUCCAUUGACUUGGACAAUACUUUUAUGAUCUGAUCUCAAAUCAGGUAGGACUACCCGCUGAACUUAAGC
Molecule: unclassified non-coding RNA, 377 nt
Filed under: plant metagenome
Description: partial contains 5.8S ribosomal RNA, internal transcribed spacer 2, and large subunit ribosomal RNA
Rfam family: 5.8S ribosomal RNA (bases 1-105)
Source: RNAcentral